AAAAUAUUCAUUCAAAAUUUUGAAAAUGAAUGAAAAUCAACUAAAUAUCAUGCAAGAUCAUAAACUCUGCAUUAAAUAUUUUAUUUGGGAGAAUUUGAAAACUAUGAGCUUGAGUUUAUAGAGUCUGCAUUAUUGUGUCUAAAACCUUUUUAACGAGUAUCAUUUGCAUUUAUUUAAAUCUCAGUAUGAAUCUGAAUGCAGAGAAAUGAACUCCUGCUUAAAUUGUGUCUUGAUAUAUCAUAGUAAGUUGAAAUGCAAUAUUUAUUCCAACUGUUCAGUUUUGUUAUUUUAUAGAGUAGUCUUUGUUCAGAGAAAUAAUGUUUUUAUCAUUCCUAAGGGUGGAUACCAACAUUGUAAUCAUGUGUUUAGAAAUAUUCUUUUCAUGGAGAUAUAUAGGGGGGAAAGUAUGUUGUAAUAUUCAUGUUUGUUCUGCUUUAUUUUUAAGGAAAAUAAACAUGUUCCAAAAGACACUAUUAAAAUAAGUGUUUGAAUAAAUUUCAAUUUCUAGGUUUCUCUUCACUCCAAAUACGUAAAUAUACACAUUUCAGUUGGCUUUAAGUGGUUUAAUCUGUUAAAUGAAAUUUGAAAAUCUGUGUCAUUGUUGACAUCAUCAAUUAUACUUUAUAGAAAAUUAUGUAUGUAUGUGUUUUGGAGUCUAUAUAAGAAGCAAACUGGUAUAAUUUUAUCAUAAUGUGGCAGGGUGUAUCUCAAAAGGUGCAAACCAGUAUAGCCUGGAGACCCUCCCGUGAUGAGAGGCCCUGGGCGCACACAUACCUUCCUAGCCUUAACCACAGCUGGUUAAUGACAGACAUGCUAAAGGUACUG
This 825-nucleotide long non-coding RNA is filed under the name Capra hircus (goat). RNAcentral describes it as "lncRNA (ENSCHIG00010025531.1)". Lineage: Eukaryota; Metazoa; Chordata; Mammalia; Artiodactyla; Bovidae. The record is from RNAcentral.